Molecule: ribosomal RNA, 253 nt
Filed under: uncultured bacterium
Lineage: Bacteria
Description: partial 16S ribosomal RNA
Rfam family: Bacterial small subunit ribosomal RNA
Source: RNAcentral
UACGGAGGGUGCAAGCGUUGCUCGGAAUUAUUGGGCGUAAAGGGCAGGUAGGUGGUCUUAUUUGUCUGGGGUGAAAGCCUUGAGCUUAACUCAAGAAGUGCCUCAGAAACGGUGAGACUGGAGUCCUGGAGAGGGUCGUGGAAUUCCCGGUGUAGCGGUGAAAUGCGUAGAGAUCCGGAAGAACACCGGUGGCGAAGGUGGUGAGCUGGGCAGUUGCUGACACUGAGGCGCGACAGCGUGGGGAGCAAACAGG